Molecule: unclassified non-coding RNA, 300 nt
Filed under: fungal sp.
Lineage: Eukaryota; Fungi
Description: partial contains small subunit ribosomal RNA and internal transcribed spacer 1
Rfam family: Eukaryotic small subunit ribosomal RNA (bases 1-46)
Source: RNAcentral
AAGUCGUAACAAGGUUUCCGUAGGUGAACCUGCGGAAGGAUCAUUAUCACGUAUCCACGUAUAAACCAUUGUGAACCGUUCUUGCCUUUGAGACUACAUGGAGUGUGCAAUUACAGACACAUGAAACUCUUUCUUGCGAUUUAUAGUUUCGUUUGUUUUUGCCAAGGGCGCGUCCUGCACCUGUAGUUUCAAAGCGUAUCCAUAAAUCCGCACUUUGAUUAACAAUUUGAACAACACCUUUUAAACUUUGAACUGACUUGUUUCUUACUCUUUUCGAAGAGAAGAAAUUCAUUACGAAAC